ACAUCCAUUUGUCUUUCUCAAGUCUCAAAAGCUUUCAUCCAACUCAUUUAUGCGAGUUCUGUUUUUUUAAAACUUUUUCAGCUGUUGUCUUUAAUAUAUUAGUCAACACUCCAGCUUUUAAAGCUCUCUCUUCCUUAGUCCUUGCCUGUGUUUGAGAUGUGCUAAUUACGUGUUCUCUUAUAGAGGGUUAUUUGAGCCUUUCAUAUGUUUUACGUGAUUCCUUGAUAUGCAAGUACAAUUGGUUUUUGUAUGUCGCCUAGCAUUUUAACAUUCAAACUUAAGGGUUCCACCUAGUUGCUACCUCAUAGGAAUAAUCAUCCUAAAUGCCCUCUAGGAUCUAUAGGAUGGGACGGGUAAUAGCACGCAAUAAGCAUUCGUGACCGAUACACACGCUUAAAUAACAUCUAAGGGGGUGGGAAGGGUAGAAUAUAGAGAUGACGACGACGCGAUAAUAUCAUAAAGUGACCCCUCUUUGGGAAUAUGUGCGGGAUAUUGCAUCGAAUGAUCCACAUUAUAGUUAAACCUAGG
RNAcentral lists this long non-coding RNA (528 nucleotides) under Nicotiana benthamiana. Its description in RNAcentral is "long non-coding RNA (NBEN_LNC013259)". The record is from RNAcentral. Lineage: Eukaryota; Viridiplantae; Streptophyta; Magnoliopsida; Solanales; Solanaceae.